GGGCGGUUAGCUCAGCUGGUUAGAGCGCAGCCUUCACACGGCUGAGGUCGGAGGUUCGAGUCCUCUACCGCCCA
Molecule: transfer RNA, 74 nt
Filed under: Acidimicrobiia bacterium
Lineage: Bacteria; Bacillati; Actinomycetota; Acidimicrobiia
Also listed under: 1 other name
Description: tRNA-Val
Rfam family: tRNA
About the family: Transfer RNA (tRNA) molecules are approximately 80 nucleotides in length.
Source: RNAcentral